Molecule: long non-coding RNA, 9550 nt
Filed under: Homo sapiens (human)
Lineage: Eukaryota; Metazoa; Chordata; Mammalia; Primates; Hominidae
Description: HSALNT0294591
Source: RNAcentral
GCCCGGGAGACUCGCUCAAGAGGGAAUGUGCGGUGCCCGGCAGGAUUUUAAUUCCGGGUCACCCGCCCCGCCCUGCGGCCUUGGGUAGAGUUUAGCCCCCUCAUCCCGUGUCCCGGGGGUCGCGCGACGUCCCCGAGACGCCCUGGCCGGUACUCGCAGCUCGCGCCUUUCGUUCCGCUCAAGUUCCUCCGCCGCGACCUCAGGACAGGCCGAAGAGGCGCGCACUACUCACGUGUCUUCCAAGUGCUGCUCCAAGGUCGCCUCCAUCCCACCCACCGACCACUCCGGCUCAGAACCCAGCGGCACGGCACGUCCUUCUCCACCACAGGCCUCAGUCACUUGACGCGAGCGGGGCGUGGACCGUAACGGCGCCUCCAAAGGGACAAAAUUGAUCACGGUGCAACGUCCGCGUUCUUUACUGGAAAACAUCACUGCGCUUCCGUCGCACAGAGCCUGACGAAGGCUUGGGCUCCCCGCGCGGUGACCGUCGAGGUGACCUGCACCUGGCUCCAUGGCGGAACCGGCCGGCACGGAUUAUUCCCCUCUCGGGAGAGGUCUGCAGCCGGGCCUCAGUGCUUCAGUUCGUGGCCUGGCAUUUUGUGUCAGUGUUUUUUAACCUUUGGACCCUAGUUCAACCGACUCCGAGACCUAGGGGACAGAUCUUAAGUUUUACAAUAACCCAGGGGUCAGACAGGGUCUGAUCUAGCCUGUGGGGCAAAGUGUCUUCAUCUCUGCAUCCCUAGUGCAACAGAGCAUGACAAAAAUUCAACAAAUAUUUAUUGAAGAGUCUUGAUGUCUUUUGGGAAAGGAACUCUAUGGUUACCUUUACUCUAAGUUAAAAACAACAACAACAACAACAAAAACACAAAACCCUGAGGCUCAGAAGAUAAAUAUUUGCUGAAGAUCACUGUGCUUAUUAGAUGGGUGUUACUGAUUCUUACCUCAGAGAAGAGAAUGUCAUGGAGACAAAAUGACCUGCUUAGAGUUCUGCACCCCCCAGCAUGGAGAGCAGAGCGCAAAGAUUUCUUCCGGACUCCCACAUUCCCCUUGGAAUCCAAGAACUGGUCUACUGUCACAACACUUUAGUACCCUCUUGUAAGCCUGUGGACAAAUCCUCUGAUGCCUUGAUACCUCGGUUUUCCCCCACUAUAAAUGGGAAGAUAAAUUCACUAGAAACAGUACUUACCUUGCAGUGUCAUUAUGAGAAUUUCAUGAGACAAUGCAAUAUAAAGCUCCUAGCACAGUUCCAGGCACCAUUGUAAGCACUGAACAAAUGAAAGCUGUUGUCAUUAGGAUCUCAAGAAAUGACAGCUGAGGCAAAUGUGGAUUAGACUGCAUUCAGCAUUCUUAGCUGCAAGCAACAGAAGCUGACGCUGGUUUAAAGAAUAGGAAAGGAAGUUAAUUAAAAUGACAUUGGGUAGCUUGUGGAACUGGGAGGACUAGAGAGCUCAGUCUAAGUUCUAGUGACAAAGCUUCAAAUCAUACAUGAGGAAAAUGCCCCUCUGCAGGAGGAACGUAAUCCUGCAAUCACUGCUUCCCCUGAAGCCAGAUGCCUCUACUGCUGCCCUUCCCAGCAGUGAUGGAGCCUGGAUCACAUACCUGGCUUUAGUUGUAAAGGAGGCUGGAGAGAAAAUGCUCUGCUCUAUGUAACUGUCUUGAAAGUGGCCCACACAUAGCAAAGCCAUUCAAAAGCGGGUGAGCAGCAUGAAAGCAUCCAGAAGGAUUCUUGCUUUGCAUGAGGGAGAACUCUUGCUCCCAGAGUGUGAGACCAGCAGGGGCAUUUUCCUCAUGUGUGAUUAGAAGCUUUGUCACUAGAAGCUUAGACUGAGUAGGACACCUCUGAGUGUGAAUGUCCUACCUGAGUUCUGCCUCAUGCAAAGCAAGAAUCCCUCUGGAGGGAUUGACACCACAGCCUCUUCCACAAUGUCUCCAAACAACUUUACUGGGCAGCAUUCCACUCCUUGACAAACGGGAGAGGUGCAUUCUACCUUCUCUCCUGCAUGAGCCUAGACUAAUAUGGAAUUUGGGAGUGUUGAUCAUUGUACUUUGUGCUCCUAGAGAUAAGGGUCAUCAUAAAGCAUCUCAGAGUCUCACUGUAGAUCCACAGUUCCAUUUCUUUAUGGAUCCCUUACCCCUACUUUGCCAAAUUCUAUGCAGAUAGCAAUAAUAAUUCAGACAGGGCUUCCUCACUGAAGGAGUUUGUGCUCUAUAUAGUUAAUAAGCUAGAGAUAAUGAAAAAAAAAAAAACUCAACUUGAACUUUGGGUAAGAGAAACUUUUCAGACCAACGAUCAUUACCAAUAACAGCUUCCACGCAUGACCCUGCCCGGAGAUUGGGGCCUGCACUACUGUUUCCAGGAAACACAUUCUUUUGAAUUUUUUUAUUUUCUUUGUAGAGAUGGGGAUCUCACUCUGUUGCCCAGGCUGGUCUCAAACUCCUGGCUUCAAGCAAUCCUCCUGCUUCGGCCUCCCAAACUUCUGGGAUUACAGAUAUGAGCCACCACGGCUGGCUGACAGGCACCAAAUUCUAGGAGAGGACUUGAAUAGAGUAGGCAUCUGUCUCUCCCCAUUCCUUUCAGGGACAGAGCUCUCCUGGUUGGGAGAAAGGGAGAGGGAGAGGGAGGAGGAUGAAUAGUGAAGCACCAAACCUCAGAAUUAAGGCCUUUUUCUUUUCUUUCUUUCUUUCUUUUUUUUUUUUGAGAUGGAGUUUCGCUCUUGUUGCCCAGGCUGGAGUGCAAUGGCACAAUCUCGGCUCACCGCAACCUCUGCCUCCCAGGUUCAAGCGAUUCUCCUGCCUCAGCCUCCCGAGUAGCUGGGAUUACAGGCAUGCGCCACCACACCCAGUUAACUUUUUUGUAUUUUUAGAGACGGGGUUUCUCCAUGUUGGUCAAGCUGGUCUCGAACUCCCGACCUCAGGUGCUCUGCCCGACUUAGCCUCCCAAAGUGCUAGGAUUACAGGCGUGAGCCACCAUGCCCAGCCAGAAUCAGGGCCUUUUUAAAACUUCAGUGUCUUGUCUUUACCCUUCAUGGUGCCUAGAAAAGCAUCUGGCUCAUAGGUGUUCAGUGAAUGAUUGUUUCAUUAGUGAAGAAAUUCCCUUUGGAAAUCUCAUAGGAAACUUACCCUCUCCAACCCUUCACCUGUGCAUUAUUCCAGCUCCCAAGGAGGCAGCAGAAACUGGGGUAAUCACAACGGUCAACAGCAGCAAAGGCAGCACUUUCUGAUUUACUUGACUGCUAUGGAUGCCACCUCUCUCCACGCCUCAGUUUAAUAUCUGUAAGUUUGGUCAGUAUCUCAUUCAAGAACAUUGCAUUUACUCUGGUACUUAAAGAUGAAAAAUCAACAUUUACAAAGCAGAUCCAUUGUCAACCUAAAUAACAAACAAAGAGAGUCUCUAUAAAAGAAAAGAAUAUUUAUUUGGGAAUAGAGCAUUGCAUAGGAAUAUGCCUGCCUUAGUAAUGCAUGUAUUCAGGGAGGUAGAGGAAGACAAAGGUUUUUAACAGAAAAAAUGUGGAGAAUUACAUAAUUGUUUUGAAAUAAUUAUCCUUGGCUAUAAAGAUCAAUAACAAGGGUGAUGCGAGUCCAAGGUUGGACAGGCAGUUGCUGGGCAGAUGUCUUUGCAGAAGUCUUUUUUGUGUAAGGUUGUAAUGGCUUUUGUAGGAGGUUGUGGCUUUUGCAAUCUUUUGUGAUAGCUUUUGUUACCAGGCAUACAAGCAUGAGAAUGCUCUCUUCAGGGCCUUCCCUAGCUCUAUUUAUCAGGGGUUUCUUGUUAGUGAUUCCAUUUUGAUUCUGACAACUUUCAUGGACAUUAUCUCAUUUAAUCUCACAGUCAUUCCAUGACUCUAUCCCCAUUUUGUGAAUGAAGUAACUGAGGUCUGGAGAGGUCAACUAACUGGUCAAGGUCAUAGAACUUGAAAAUUUUCAUUGUCUUGGGUCUCUAAUACUGGGGCUGACCAUUCUCCCAGGCAAUGUUGAGUGAGUUGGCCCAGGUGAGUCGGCUCCUCUGCAAUUGUGUCUCCUCAACUAGUUUGAACAACACAGGCCUGUGAGCCAGUCCCAUAAAGUGGCUAGGGGUUCCCUUCUCCCCAUUUCCCCUCAUCAACAGGAGGACUUGUCUGUGUGCCUUCAGACACCACACAGUAAAUCAACUGCCACAUUCAUUCUGGACCAUCAGUAUUUUGCCCCAGGAGAAAGUCAGAGGCAAGCACACUAAUAUCUCAUUGAUAUUUUCAAUUGCCAAAGGGGAAGUGAGAUGAAUCUAAUCCCAUCUGUCAAGGUGGAGAAGAGCUGAUUCGAAAGCAGCAUAGAUUACUUUAAGGAGAUGACAGUUUAUCACUCUCUGGACAAGGGAAUAUGAAAUGAGGACUAACCUCCUUUAUGAGUUGGUAAAAACAUUGAUCAGCAAAGACAAUGUCUGGGGAAAUGAACAGCAAGUUCUCUGGCCCUUUUUCCACUUUUCCUUUCCCCGAGACUUUAUGUUAUAUAUACACACUCACACAAACAGGACAGAAUCCACCUCCUGCCCCUCAAGAAAUAGUUAACAUUUGUUGAGGAUUAAUUAUUGCCAGGCUCUGUACUCCAUGUUUUAUAUUUACUAUCCAGAAGCCUUAAUUGUUAAAUGAGGUAAGUGUUAUUAUUAGAACCUUUGUACAGAUGUGGAAACUGAGGUGUAUAGAGGUUGACUUGCCCAAGGUUACCCAGCUAGUGAAGAAUGAAAUCAGAUGCAGUCCAGCCAACGCUUGGCCUGCCGUCAGUCACACGCAGUACACGUAGAUCAGUCAGCCUGGAAAGCCACCUAGACAGCCCUGCUUCACUCCAUCCUUGGUCAGCACCUUAGAGAGCCCUGCUGACCCCAAGAGGAUGUGCCUUUUACGGGUUGUAGAGGCUGAACCACAGCUGAGGGGCUGGAAUGAGUGGGGGCCUCAGACAGGGUGUCUGGAGAGCUGAGGCUCAAGGAAGGGUGGAGGGGGUGCUGAAGCUGAAGGCCGUGGGUCUUGCCAGCAAGUGGGGCUCAGUGAGCCGAGGUGCCUCUCAGUUACUUCCAUGUGUGAAUUUCCGGUGGAGGACAGUGAUGGGCUCUGGGCCCUUGGAAACCGGGACAUCCAGCGUGUCCAGCCACAGUGCAGGCUGCCCUGGCUGCUGAGAGUCUCAGAAAAUGCCACUGUCAUGGGUUAGGAAGGCCUGGGGACCACAACAAUGUGACUUCAAAAAACCCAAGAAGGAAUGUGCACACCUGAGAUGCUCAGAAUGCAUGUGUCAGUGUUCAGUUCUGACUCCUUGCUUCAGCCAGGGACAGAAGAACCUUCUACAGUAAAGAACCACAAGAGAGGGCUUUGCUGCCAGCCUCAGCCAGGGACACUUGGCGGCCAAAGCAAAGGUCACUCCAGGGCUGCAGAUUUCAGCCUCUGCGGCCAGAAACAAGCUUCCCAAUUAAUAAUACUCUGGAUCGGACAGAGAUGGCUGCUCUGUCUCAGGCGUGUUUGCCGUUGAUCCCUGUGAUUGAUGCUGAUAACAUUAAGAGUCUGUCAGGGUGAUAUUUCAUGAAUGUCUCAUGUGAUGGGAUGAUACAGUCGGGAAAUGCAAUUCCCUAGCUCAGGCAGAAUCAGAGAUGACCCAAAGUGCUGAUGGAAAGGCUGAGGCCCUUUCCAGCCUCUGGCAGGGUAGGGAAAGCGGGUGAGGUGGGGGCUUGGGAGGGGCUGGGCUGACCUAGAGCUGUAACAGGGGUCUCUCAUGAAGGGCUGUGAAGAGAAACAGUAUGUGAGAGAGGCAAGAAACUUUUCUCUGGGUUUCCUCAUGUAGAAUGAUUCCAUCUGUGUAGGCCAUGAAGGAGUCCAGGGAAGUUCACCCCAAAAUGUUGAAACCACCUUUGCAAAGAUUAUGACAGUGAGAGAAGCCUGGCAUGGCUGACUCUAUCUUGCUUCUAGCCUCACAGGCUGGCUGUUCUGUCUCAUUCCUGGGCAUAGGCCAAGCUAAUCUUGGGAGGGAUUUAUGGUUUAACUUUGAAGCCAGGAUCAUAAUUGUCCCUCCCUAAAACUGACCCCUUUCUUGUUCAGGGACUGAAACUGCCUUUGUAAGACUAAUGAAAGGCCACAAAAUUAGGAUUAUGGAAGGGGCCUGAAUUCUGAUAAGAUGUAGGCAUAGCUUGCCUUUCUGUCAUCGUUUAUUGCACUGGCACUCACAAGAUUUGUAACUUCCCCAAUUGGUCCCAUAGAUAACAUCACUAUUGUAGAACCUCAGAUUGGUCUUUUGAGAUCUUUUUCAGACUUUGGUAUUCUGGUGACUGACUCCACCCAGAUCCCAUGACUCAUGACUCAGCUGGUCCUGUGGUUCUUACCCAGUCUGACACAGCACCAGAGGACCGUUUUCCACACUUCUAUCUAUGAUUUCAUCCCCAACCAAUCAGCACCACCCAUUCCCUAGCCCCCUGCCCACCAAAUUGAUAUCCAUAAAAACCCUAACCUCUGAGUUCUCAGAGAAACUGAUUGGAGUAAUAAACUCCUGUCUUCUGUGUGGCUAGCCUUAUGUUAAUUAAACUCUUUCUUAGGGCAGUACUGCUGUCAGUGAAUCAGCUUUAUCUGUGCAGUGGGCAAGAAGGACCCACUGGGUGACUACAAUAUGGCACUUUGGUAUGUUGGUUAUUUUAAGUUAGAGGCCUUUGAUGCUGGAAGAAGCUUUACUCUGAUAUCUCCUUAUCUACCACAAGACUGGAUCUGCCAAAGAGAACACAAUUGCGUUCCAUUCCCUUCCUGAAAUCUCAUUAUCUAUGGCAGAAAAGAAGACUGGGGAAUGUAAUACACAGUAUUACACAGUAAUGUAACAUACUACACAGUAUUUACACAAAACAUGUAACACAGAAUGUACUACACAGUAUUUUCACAAAACAAUAUCUGUCUCUCCAACUCAUUCAAAUUCUAAAGAGUCAUUUACACGUCAAUUUGUGUCUUCUACGCCCAUUCAUUCUCCCUAAGAAUCAUUUACUACUCCUCAAAAGAAUUACCAACAUUCUCCAUCUCCCACUCCCCUAUGAGGAAGGGUAUAUAAGUUUCUGUCUGGAUCUCAUUAGAUGACUGUGUGAUCGUGCUUCUAUGAUCCCUACCCCACAUGUUAAAUGAAUUUUGUAUGCCUUUUUCUUUUAUCAAUCUGCCUUUUGUUAGGGUAUUUUCAGUGGACCUUCAGAAGGCAAAGGGGGAGCUUUCCUUCUUUGACCCUACAGCUAUUAGACUUGAUUGAGUAAGACACACAAUAAUGAAAGUAAAUAAGAAGAAAAACAUUCAUCCUGCUGUCUCCAGAGUUUGAAAUGUCUGCCUCAAACUUCGAUUUCUAUCUACCAAAAAUUCAUGCAUUAAUCAUAAGGCCGAUCUCAAAAGUGAAUUUUUUUUUUUUUUUGAGAAGGAGUCUCACUCUGUUGCCUAGGCUGGAGUGCAGUGGCACAAUCUCAGCUCACUGCAACCUCUGCCUCCUGGGUUCAAGCGAUUCUCCUGCCUCAGCCUCCCAAGUAGCUGGGACUACAGGCACGUGCCGCCAAGCCUGGCUAAUUUUUAUAUUUUUAGUACAGACGGGGUUUCACCAUAUUGGCCAGGCUGGUCUCAAACUCCUGACCUCAAGUGAUCCACCCACCUCUGCCUCCCAAAGUGCUGGGAUUACAGGCGUGAGCCACCGCGCCUGGACGUGAAAAGUUUUUUGAAUUCCCCCAUUAGAAAUGAUCUUCACCCUGACUCCCAUAACACUUUGUACAUUACUGUAAAAGCAUAAUAUUCAAAUAUUUACAAUAUACCUCCUUCAAAUAUAAAAUGGACACAUGCCGAAGACUUAGCAACUCAUGAAGGAGGGAACCAAUAAUGUAGUUAAGCUAAUUCAAAGAGCAUUUUGAGGAAAUGAAUACUUAUGGUCAUUUAAAAGGAAAUGUUAAAAUUUCUAGGUUAAAAAUAAAACUUGCCAUUGCAUAUAUGGUCAAAUGAUUUUUGACAAGGGUGCCAAGACCAUUCCAUGGGGAAAACACAGUCUUUUCAACAAAUCGUGUUGGGAAAACUAGAUAUCCAUGUUCAAAAGAAUGAACCCUUACCUUACCUUCCACCAUAUACAAAAAUUAACUCAAAAUGGAUCAAAGACUUAAGCAUAAGAGCUAAAAUUAUAAAAUUCUUAGAAGAAAACAUAGGGAAAAAGGUCCAUGGUAUUAUAUUUGACAAUGACUUUUUUUUUUUUUUUUGAGGCAAGAUUUCACUCUGUCACCCUGGCUGGAGUUCAAUGCAGUGGCACAAUCUCAGCUCACUGCAACCUCCACCUUUCAGGCUCAAGCAAUCCCCCUACCUCAGCCCCUAAGUAGCUGAGACUACAGGCAUGCACCACCAAGCACAGCUAAUUUUUGUAUUUUUGUACAGAGUUUCGCCAUGUUGCCCAGGCUGGUCUCGAACUCCUGAGCUCAAGCUAUUCACCUGCCUCAGCCUCCCAAAGUGUUGGGAUUACAGGUGUGAGCCACUGUGCCCAGCCCUGACCCCCACAUUUUUAAACAAAGCUUCUCUUCCAUAAUCAAUUGCAAAUCAGAAGAUCUUUGAAUCUAUCUGCAGCCUGCAAGCCCCCUAUUCAAGACAUCCCACCCUUUUAAACUUAAGCCAAUGUGUAACCUCCUGGCAAUCAAUUUUGCAAUUUAUGAUUUUGCCUGUAGCUUCUGCUGUUCUGAAAUUUAUUCCUGCCUCUAAAAAUCCUUGCCGGCAAGCCACUGGGGAGGCUAGGUUUUGAGCACUUAGCUGUCUGGUCUUCCUUACUUAGUGCUCUGCAAUAAACACCUUCCUUUCUAUCACCACAAAAUCCUGGGUGUGGGUAUCUGGUUUUACUGUGUUGGGUGAGCAGACCUCAGUUUGGUUCUGUUACAAGUCCCUGCUCCAUCUCACUUGCUACAACAUGAAUGAAACUUGAGGACAUUAUGCAAAAUGAAAUAAGCCAGUCACAAAAAGACAAAUACUGUAUUAUUCCACUUAUAUGAGGUACUUAUGAUAGACAAAAUCAUCAAGACAGAAGGUAUGAUGGUUGCCAGGGGUUGAGGGAAGACAAAAUAGGGAGUUAUUGUUUAAUGGUUGAGAAGUUUCAGUUUUGCAAGAUGAAAAGUGUUCUGGAGAUGGAUGGUGGUGAUGGUUGCAUGACAUAAAUGUGCUUAAUACCACUGAACUGUUCUUAACUCCGCUGAAAUAUGGUUAAGAUGGCCCGGGUGCAGUGGCUCAUGCCUGUAAUCCUAACACUUUGGAACGCCGAGGCGGGCAGAUCACCUGAGAUCAGGAGUUCGAGACCAGCCUGACCAAUAUGGCGAAACCCAGUCUCCACUAAAAAUACAAAAAUUAGCGAGGUGUGGUGGUGCGCACCUGUAAUUCAAGCCACUUGGGAGGCUGAGGCAGGAGAAUUUUCUGAAUCCAGGAUGCAGAGGUUGCAGUGUACUGAGAUCGCACCACUGCACUCCAGCCUGAGCAACAGAGCAAGACUCCAUCUCAAAAAAAAAAAAAAGGUUAAGAUGGUAAACUUUGUACCAAUUAAAAAACAAAGCUGGCUAACACCCUACAGGGCA